RNAcentral lists this ribosomal RNA (392 nucleotides) under uncultured bacterium. RNAcentral's name for it is "bacterial SSU rRNA". It matches the Rfam family "Bacterial small subunit ribosomal RNA", at positions 32 to 414 of the family's 1533-position model. The record is from RNAcentral.
AAUCAACGCUGGCGGCGUGCCUCAGACAUGCAAGUCGAACGAUUAAAGCUCUCUUCGGAGAGUGCAUAAAGUGGCGCACGGGUGAGUAACACGUAAGUAAUCUACCUUUGAGUGGGGAAUAACAGUCGGAAACGGCUGCUAAUACCGCAUAAUGCAGCGGCACCGCAAGGUGACAGUUGUUAAAGGAGCAAUCCGCUUAAAGAGGAGCUUGCGGCAGAUUAGCUAGUUGGUAAGGUAAUGGCUUACCAAGGCUACGAUCUGUAACCGGUCUUAGAGGACGGUCGGUCACACUGACACUGAAUAACGGGUCAGACUCCUACGGGAGGCAGCAGUCGGGAAUUUUGGACAAUGGGCGAAAGCCUGAUCCAGCGACGCCGCGUGGGCGAUGAAGG